CCAGCGUAUAGUUCUACCGUGUAAAGUGCAGGACGUCUCUUCAUUAAGUUUCUCAUAAAUGGAAGCAUCUUUAAAUGAUUAUUGUGACGUCAUAACCUCGUGACAAUGUCGCACCUGAGAUGUUAAUUUCAGAAUCAAUUUUUCAGUUUUUCAGAUUGAACCAUAUGUUGAUUGUCAAUUCAUUUGUCGGUCGUUGCUGAUGAUGGAAGUCUUGUCUACUAAUCAAGCCUAGAAGGACUAUGAAAUGACAUUGUUAAAACUUGUGUGUGGGACAAAGACUCUUCCUAUACGUAACUAAUAGAGACACGUGCCUUGGAUAUUCUAUUUCUAAAGGUAAGUUUUAUUUU
Molecule: long non-coding RNA, 347 nt
Filed under: Mytilus galloprovincialis (Mediterranean mussel)
Lineage: Eukaryota; Metazoa; Mollusca; Bivalvia; Mytilida; Mytilidae
Source: RNAcentral